This 21-nucleotide microRNA is filed under the name Oryza sativa (Asian cultivated rice). RNAcentral's name for it is "osa-miR5801c-3p". The record is from miRBase by way of RNAcentral. Lineage: Eukaryota; Viridiplantae; Streptophyta; Magnoliopsida; Poales; Poaceae.
UAGAUCCAACAAUCGAAAACG